This 500-nucleotide ribosomal RNA is filed under the name uncultured bacterium. RNAcentral's name for it is "partial 16S ribosomal RNA". It matches the Rfam family "Bacterial small subunit ribosomal RNA", at positions 30 to 523 of the family's 1533-position model. The record is from RNAcentral.
ACUGAACGCUGGCGGCAUGCUUUACACAUGCAAGUCGAACGGUAACAGGGUGCUUGCACCGCUGACGAGUGGCGAACGGGUGAGUAAUGCGUCGGAACGUGCCGAGUAGUGGGGGAUAACGCAGCGAAAGUUGUGCUAAUACCGCAUACGUACUGAGGUAGAAAGUGGGGGACCUUCGGGCCUCACGCUAUUCGAGCGGCCGACGUCUGAUUAGCUAGUAGGUGAGGUAAAGGCUCACCUAGGCGACGAUCAGUAGCGGGUCUGGGAGGAUGAUCCGCCUCACUGGGACUGAGACACGGCCCAGACUCCUACGGGAGGCAGCAGUGGGGAAUUUUGGACAAUGGGCGAAAGCCUGAUCCAGCCAUGCCGCGUGUCUGAAGAAGGCCUUCGGGUUGUAAAGGACUUUUGUCAGGGAGGAAAUCCCUAGUGCUAAUAACACUGGGGGAUGACAGUACCUGAAGAAUAAGCACCGGCUAACUACGUGCCAGCAGCCGCGGUAA